Molecule: ribosomal RNA, 491 nt
Filed under: uncultured bacterium
Lineage: Bacteria
Description: partial 16S ribosomal RNA
Rfam family: Bacterial small subunit ribosomal RNA
Source: RNAcentral
AGUGAACGCUGGCGGUAGGCCUAACACAUGCAAGUCGAACGGCAGCACAGUAAGAGCUUGCUCUUACGGGUGGCGAGUGGCGGACGGGUGAGGAAUACAUCGGAAUCUACUUUUUCGUGGGGGAUAACGUAGGGAAACUUACGCUAAUACCGCAUACGACCUACGGGUGAAAGCAGGGGAUCUUCGGACCUUGCGCGAUUGAAUGAGCCGAUGUCGGAUUAGCUAGUUGGCGGGGUAAAGGCCCACCAAGGCGACGAUCCGUAGCUGGUCUGAGAGGAUGAUCAGCCACACUGGAGCUAAGACACGGUCCAGACUCGUACGGGAGGCAGCAGUGGGAAACAUUCGAGAAGGAGCGCAAGCCUGUUCCAGCCAAACCGCGUGGGUGAAGAAGACCUUCGGGUUGUAAAGCCCUUUUGUUGGGAAAGAAAAGCGGCAGGUUAAUACCCCGCUGUUCUGACGGUACCCAAAGAAUAAGCACCGGCUAACUUCGU